CAGCCGCCGCGGGAAUACGUAGGGUGCAAGCGUUGUCCGGAAUUAUUGGGCGUAAAGAGCUCGUAGGCGGUUUGUCGCGUCUGCUGUGAAAUCCCGAGGCUCAACCUCGGGCUUGCAGUGGGUACGGGCAGACUAGAGUGCGGUAGGGGAGAUUGGAAUUCCUGGUGUAGCGGUGGAAUGCGCAGAUAUCAGGAGGAACACCGAUGGCGAAGGCAGAUCUCUGGGCCGUAACUGACGCUGAGGAGCGAAAGCGUGGGGAGCGAACAGGAUUAGAUACCCGUGUAGUCCCUGUCUCUUAUAC
This 301-nucleotide ribosomal RNA is filed under the name uncultured bacterium. Its description in RNAcentral is "partial 16S ribosomal RNA". It matches the Rfam family "Bacterial small subunit ribosomal RNA", at positions 509 to 807 of the family's 1533-position model. The record is from RNAcentral.